RNAcentral lists this ribosomal RNA (465 nucleotides) under uncultured bacterium. RNAcentral's name for it is "partial 16S ribosomal RNA". It matches the Rfam family "Bacterial small subunit ribosomal RNA", at positions 28 to 507 of the family's 1533-position model. The record is from RNAcentral.
GACGAACGCUGGCGGCGUGCUUAACACAUGCAAGUCGAACGGAAAGGCCCUGCUUGCAGGGUACUCGAGUGGCGAACGGGUGAGUAACACGUGGGUGAUCUGCCCUGCACUUCGGGAUAAGCCUGGGAAACUGGGUCUAAUACCGGAUAGGAGCCAUUUUUAGUGUGAUGGUUGGAAAGUUUUUUCGGUGUAGGAUGAGCUCGCGGCCUAUCAGCUUGUUGGUGGGGUAAUGGCCUACCAAGGCGGCGACGGGUAGCCGGCCUGAGAGGGUGGACGGCCACAUUGGGACUGAGAUGCGGCCCAGACUCCUACGGGAGGCAGCAGUGGGGAAUAUUGCAAAAUGGGCGCAAGCCUGAUGCAGCGACGCCGCGUGGGGGAUGACGGCCUUCGGGUUGUAAACUCCUUUCGCUAGGGACGAAGCUUUUUGUGACGGUACCUAGAGAAGAAGCACCGGCUAACUACGUG